GACGAACGCUGGCGGUGUGCUUAAUACAUGCAAGUCGAACGGCUCUUCGGAGCAGUGGCGGACGGCUGAGUAACGCGUAGGUAACGUGCCUCUUACUGGGGGAUAACAUCGGGAAACUGGUGCUAAUACCGCAUAAGUCACGAGUUGAAAUACUUGUGAUUAAAGAGUUUCGGUAAGAGAUCGGCCUGCGGCUGAUUAGCUAGUUGGUAGGGUAAUGGCCUACCAAGGCGAUGAUCAGUAGUUGGUCUGAGAGGAUGACCAGCCAGAGUGGGACUGAGAACGGCCCACACUUCUACGGAAGGCAGCAGUAGGGAAUUUUGCGCAAUGGGCGAAAGCCUGACGCAGCAACACCGCGUGCGGGAUGAAGGCCUUCGGGUCGUAAACCGCUGUCGGCAGGGAAUAAAUUGACUGUACCUGCAAAGGAAGCACCGGCUAACUACGUGCCAGCCGCCGCGGUAA
RNAcentral lists this ribosomal RNA (459 nucleotides) under uncultured bacterium. Its description in RNAcentral is "partial 16S ribosomal RNA". It matches the Rfam family "Bacterial small subunit ribosomal RNA", at positions 28 to 523 of the family's 1533-position model. The record is from RNAcentral.